AGCAACACUCCAACGACGCCCACCGUCAUAGUUUCCGGCGAUCCUGCGCCAGUUGUCGUUCACGGCAGCCCCUACACCUUCUCCAGCAAACCAACUCCGUUGCCGUCACCACCACCGUUACCGUCAUCUUCACUAGCUCCGGACAGCCCCAUCACUCUCGGCCUCCUAUGCUUCAGUCAGCUACACAGAGCCUGCACAUCGUUCCCCUGCACCACACCAGUUCCAGGAAGUCAGCACCCCUGCUCCCGACAACCCUCCGGCGACCACGACCCAAGCCUAUGGCAGCAGCACCAGAAGACCUGCGGGCCACUCCACCUUGCAGAAACGUAGGCCAGCCCUCCAUCCUACCUCCACGGACUAUUGUUGUCAUGGCAUUUGUUUUCAAGUUUAGAUUUUUAUUGUGUUUGUUAAUAUAUAGUAUUCAUAUUCAUGGUAGGUUUUGGUUGUAUUAUUUAUAUACAUUAAUUUUCUUUAUUUGUGGAAUGUUCACAGUUG
Molecule: long non-coding RNA, 495 nt
Organism: Malania oleifera
Lineage: Eukaryota; Viridiplantae; Streptophyta; Magnoliopsida; Santalales; Ximeniaceae
Exons: 2
Source: RefSeq, a predicted model, not a curated record